Long non-coding RNA from Corvus hawaiiensis (hawaiian crow), 4111 nucleotides. RefSeq lists it as uncharacterized. NCBI's taxonomy places the organism in Eukaryota, Metazoa, Chordata, Aves, Passeriformes, Corvidae. The transcript has 4 exons. The record is from RefSeq and is a predicted model, not a curated record.
GCAAUCUGUACAGAAUGAAUUCCCUCAUAAUUAACCCACAUAUUUUGCAGAUGAGAUGCAAAAGCACCACUCAAGACCAUGCAGAAUUCUGUGACAAGGAUAAAAUCCAGGUUUCCUGAACGUCAGAUUUGUCUGAAGGCUCCUUCUCCUUGCUGGCUGCAGCAAAAGAGGGAUGCAUGUCCUAUUGAAACCCAACUGUGAGCAAAAGAUGCUGCUCUGAAAACUGUCAGCUGUCCUACUUGCAGAACCCAAACUAAAAAAAUAAGACUCUGUAAACUGUUUUUCUUCUCAGAUGUUGAAGGAACUACAGGCCAAAUUCAGCUGCAUAAAUGAGGUCUAUUACAGAACUGUCAAAGGUGUCUACUCUCUCCUUAGCCUACUGCAAUUGAUGGCUAACAUGUCUGCAGCUGGAUGAAGACACAUGAAAAUACUUUGAAGAUCACGAUCUGUUUUGGAUGGCCUUCUCUGCAGUGAAGGGAACGGACAGAAUUCUGUAAUUCAUAGUCUGGAGGAUGAAGAGGGUGUUUGCUGAUGAGGCUGAGGCAGAAGAGGGAAGAGGCAAGAGUUAAAAAGAGCAGUGGAAAGAGCUACCACUUCUGUAAGAGUAAACACAUCCAGUGACGUGGAUAACGAGCGUGUGUGAGGUGCCCACAGCCAUGGAAGCAAACACAGGAAUAAUAAAUUACACACUACGAGAUUAAACACAAUGGUCUCUUUAAGGGCCGAGUGCAGUGGUGCCAAGCUCCCGGCACAGGGCUGCCGACUUCACUCCUCUCAGCCAGCUCCACAAUGAAUGAACGCUCGAGGAAAAGGUUCAACCAACCGUAAGCUCAAAGAAUUUCUGCUGCAUCCCUCAGAGGUGCAGUAUGAGGAUACUGAUCCCUGCUCCGUGCUUGGCUGCUGAGGCGUAUUGUUUUGUUCUGCUUUGUCUUGUUUUUUAAUAUUGCUUCCUGUGCGUAGAGUUUAUGUGCAAACAGAACUGGGAAAAUCGCCUCUGCUCUUCACUAAAAGAGGGUGGGACCCUUUUUUCUAUUAUUGGACAAACUGUUUCUUAAAAUGAGAAACAGCUUCUCUCCUAUGUUUAGCAAGCUUGGGAGUAGGAAGGGAGGAACAAAGGAAGGAAAGGUGGGGGCAAAUGUCUGCGAACAAACCAGUAGCUUAGUUUUGGUUGGAUCACUUUUAGUUACCCAUCACAUAAUAUUUUUGAUAACAGAUUCCCAUGUUUUAGAUUUCUUAAAAAUGAAUGACUGCUAUUCUAAAGUAAGCUUAAGUAUUUACAUACCCUUGUAGGGCUGCACUAGGCCCAACAGUAAUGAUCUGCCUGUGAGACAAAAGAACCAAGCUGAAAACCCUGUAAAAAGUGAGCUUUAUUCUGAGAUACAUGGUUUGCCUACAAGCAGAACUGGUAGAAGAGAGGGAAAUUUCAGCUCUGUUGUGUCUUCUGACAGAAGGGUUUCAGUGCCAGAGCCAUUGGGCAGUUUAACUUUGGUUCUUUUCAGCUCCCAUCUCCUUUUCUAUUUCUCAGUGUCACUGCCCCUGAAAUAAAGCAUUCAUUGUGCUGUGUUGGCCAGGAAAGCAACUCUUGAGGCACAGUAGGUAACAGGUUUAUCUAUAACAAGCAACUUAUCACAAAGGCUACUUAAUAGAAGCUGACAGAGGUCACUGAAUAAGACAUUCAGCUUUGAAAAAUGUCUUUUGCUGGUCUGCUCAAACCUGGAAGAAGGCAGUAUGAACAGCAAAGGCAGUACCUGGUACACACAAAGCUGCACUGGCAUGUUCUUAGACAUGUCCCUGUUGGCAGUGACAUGGGGAGUGGACUACGAAACAGCACCGCUUGGCCAUAACAGCCUCCAUCCACGCGCAGACCUGAAACAACUCAUUGCCAGCAACAAGCUGUGUGCAGACUCUUGCUUCUUCUCUCAAGAUGAUGUCUCUCUCUGCUACACAGAGAAGGCAGGAAAUGCUACCACAGCACGUAUGAGAGCCUCUGCACCAGCAGGGUGUUGCAGCUGCUGCAGCUUCAGCAGGGGAAAUGCCCUGAGCAUCCAAGUCAGCCUGCGCCCGGCUCUGGGAACUCUGAGCUGUCAGCUCUCAGCUGACAACAAAAUAAGGAGCCCGGUUGCAAAUGUUCAGCAUGGUAAUGCUUCAGUUCACUCCUCAGGCAAAGACCAUAGUUCUACUUUCCAGGCACUCUCUUGCUUUCUAACACCAAAACCUCAAGUUUUCGGUUUAGCGAAGAUACUUCUCUGGUCAAGCACUGCUCACCCAAAAAAUUACAAGUCCUGCUGGAUGGAAAUUAAGGCAGUUUUCCACACACAGAUUUGGAAGACUGGCUUCACAGCUAAUGAGAGAGCUACGAGCCAACAGCCUCUGCAGAGCCCUAAGGACAGGUCUUCAUCCACCCUAAGUAUCCUUACUCUCUAGUCCUGUGGAUCUCCAGAACAGAGGCUGUCAGUCAUGCUGAAGUACACCAAGCUGCCUGGAAGCUGUGACAUGGAAAACCUUCUUUCUGCAGGGCACAGAGGCACCACACACAGGAGUUCAGCGUUCAGAGAUCCGCUAUCAGUGCAAGUAUUGUCUUCUAACCCCACUUGUUGCUGGGCUUGAGAAGGUACAAUUCCAAAGUGCCACUGGGCUACAUAGAAGAAAUCAGGACACUGUAUAACUAUGCAGGACCAUUAUUUUGCUACUGGGAUACAAGUGUUGCUUGGCCAUGGGCAGUCGGAAAGCAGUUUGUGAGCUUGGACUAACAGUGACACUGCUCUUCUACCCUCGAGUGCCUGAUGUUUUCUGCUCAGAGUAACAGCUUCUCCAGGCAGGUAUAAAGUCUACCUGGACUGAUCAGAGGUGGAGUAGAUAGAAGAGAAAUGAAUUUUAUCUCAGACUUCAGAUCAGUCAGUUGUUUGAGACACAGUUUAAAAAAGAAAAAAAGCCAUCAGAUUCACAUCAGAAUUGUCAAAGCCAUGGAUUACCUUUGUCGACCCACGUCUAACACAAUUUCUUUUUUCCUUGUCUUUCCAUGACAUGGAGAAACUGGCAGCAGCUUUGGAAACUUAACUCUGACCUUUCCCAAAGUUUGGCUUGAGAGACUCUGAAAACUUGGUCUGAGCUCAGAGAUGUACAGAAGAGCACAAAAAUCUGUGCACAUUUACCUGGGUAUCACUCGUACUCCUCACUCACACUGCUACAGCAUCAGCACUCUUUCACACUAUGCUGCCUAAGUUCAGUACGGAGAUGGACCUCACUUCCAAAGCAACUUAGUCUGCAAGUAAGUAUAUAGCGUGUGACAUUUCCAAAAUCACCUUUUUAUUGACGCUGAAGUUAUUUUUGGCUGGGGAAGGAAAGUUUUUCCUUCCUCCCCCUUUUUUUCCAAGCACACAAGAUUACGGUAUGUCUGUACAGUAAUCUAAUGCCCCGUGGGCAAUUCUGUACCUUGCCCAGACGUUUCUGAGUAAAAUUAGGAUGACAGGCUCCACGUUUGUGUCUUUCGGAAAAAAAAAAAAAAACCAACCAACCACCCCUCUGGUAAAAGGCUGCUAAAAGCGAUUAUUUAAUAAGCGGGGAUUAAAGGACCUAGUAAGGCGGUAAGGCUACCCAAUUUUCAAAAAUGUUACGGUUUUUUUUUCCUCUCGCUUGUGACCCAUCAAACAGAACGAACCGUGAUAAGGAAACAUCCACAAACGGCUGGAAAGGGGGCGAAUGAGCUCCCGGGGAGGAUCGGGGGUACCUGUCCCAAACGCGCCUGGCCAUCACACACCGCCCCGCGAUCCCGGGCUCACCCCGUUAUCCAGGACCCGCAUCAGCGGGAAAAGCGAGGGAAGCCCCUUCUCCCCCCACCGCUAACACCGACACGGCAUCCGGGGGGUCCCCACAGCCCGUCCCCUUCGCUGCCCCCUCGUUUCCCACUCCCCGCGGACACCUUCCCUGGGGCUCUGCGCCUGGAGACAGCGCAGGGGAGGGGCGAGGGGAGACCUGGCCGCCCCGCGGGCACACGGCUCGCCUCGAGGAGGUGCGGAGGGGGGCCCCGAGCCGUCCGACAGCCGCCUGCUGUCCGGGCCGCGCUGCCGGCCGGGCCCCGCGCCCCAGCGCUCACCUUGUACUUCAUGGCUGC